This 498-nucleotide ribosomal RNA is filed under the name uncultured bacterium. RNAcentral describes it as "partial 16S ribosomal RNA". It matches the Rfam family "Bacterial small subunit ribosomal RNA", at positions 29 to 523 of the family's 1533-position model. The record is from RNAcentral.
AUUGAACGCUGGCGGCAUGCCUUACACAUGCAAGUCGAACGGUAACGCGGGGCAACCUGGCGACGCGUGGCGAACGGGUGAGUAAAGCAUCGGAACGUGCCCAGUAGUGGGGGAUAGCCCGGCGAAAGCCGGAUUAAUACCGCAUACGACCUACGGGUGAAAGGGGGGGAUCGCAAGACCUCUCGCUAUUUGAGCGGCCGAUGUCAGAUUAGCUAGUUGGUGGGGUAAAGGCCUACCAAGGCGACGAUCUGUAGCUGGUCUGAGAGGACGACCAGCCACACUGGGACUGAGACACGGCCCAGACUCCUACGGGAGGCAGCAGUGGGGAAUUUUGGACAAUGGACGCAAGUCUGAUCCAGCCAUGCCGCGUGCGGGAAGAAGGCCUUCGGGUUGUAAACCGCUUUUGUCAGGGAAGAAAUCUUCUGGGUUAAUACCUCGGGAGGAUGACGGUACCUGAAGAAUAAGCACCGGCUAACUACGUGCCAGCAGCCGCCGUAA